GAGACAAUAAUAAAGGGACGGGGGGCGGGGGAGUAUGAGUAGUAGUAGUGGUUGGACUGGGCAUCGAGCUAAAAUCUGAUUUGGGCUAUGGCCGCAGGGUUGUUACUGCGGUGGUGUUCCUUAUGCUUUUUACGUAUAGUUCCCAAACGAGGGGGAUAAUCUCAAUGUAAUUUUAGUAAAUCGACGUAGAAGGGGAGUUAACGAAGGGGCGAAGUUUGGGCUCUGAUUCAAAGUCCCGCUGAACAAAACGGGCAGAAAACGAGACUCGAUUUAGUUUAGCCUUGAAUGAAACUUGGGUUCUAAACUCAAUGGGCUUUAAUAUUUUGUGUAACAUAUUCGUUUAGGCCGUGAUUUUCGUUUCCCCGAUUUCGGUAGAACAUGUUAAUCGGAAAACAGCAGCAGAUUGAGAUCCGUAUGAUGUGAUGUCAUGAGGAUGGGACCCAGAAGCGGCGUGUCGGGUGAAGCCAGCCCUGGGGGCUGACCCGCUGGGUCCUGAUCGGCCCUGCCAGGAUGCACGUGGCGUCGGUGGGCGUCAGCAAGCUCUGCUUCCUGUUGUCUCUGGCGCUCUGCGGCCUGCUGCUGAUCCUCAUCCCCGCCUUCCAGGCCCCCCAGCGCCGCCAGGGGGAUCCGCCGCAGCCCCGGCCCCGCGCGAGGCCCUCCUGGGCGGGCAGCGCCGGUGUGGCGGCCCCCGACCACCUCCAGAGGUCGGGUAUAGGGAUAGGUAGUACGGGGCUACGCAAGAGAUCCAAGGAGCCUGGAGCUACCACCAGCGGGGACUAUGAACCGUGGAGGAGGGGCGCCGAUGCCCUCCGAAGCCCAGCGGGAGGCCUCCUCCCGCAGGGGGAGGAGGGUGGACUCAAGGGGUUGGGUAGGGGGUCCCGGGACCCUCUCAAUCCAAAGGAUGUGUUCAUUGCUGUGAAGACCACCAAGAAGUACCACCGCUCCAGGCUGGAGCUGCUCCUCCAGACAUGGGGGUCCCAAGCUAAAGAGCAGACAUAUAUAUUCACUGACGGUGAGGACAGCGAGUUACGAAAAAGAGCAGGAGGGGUCAACAUCAUCAACACCAACUGCUCCGCCGCACACACACGCCAGGCCCUCUGCUGCAAGAUGUCUGUGGAGUACGACAAGUUCAUCGAGUCUCAGAAAAAGUGGUUCUGUCACGUGGACGACGACAACUAUGUGAUCCUCCCCAGUCUGCUGCGCCUGCUGUCCUCCUACCACCCCAGCCAGGACGUGUACCUGGGCCGGCCCAGCCUGGACCACCCCAUCGAGGCCGCCGAGAGGGUCAAGAGCGACGGAUCGGUGUCUGUGAAGUUCUGGUUUGCAACCGGUGGAGCUGGGUUCUGCAUCAGCCGAGGUCUGGCGCUGAAGAUGAGCCCCUGGGCGAGUCUGGGCAACUUCAUCAGCACGGCGGAGAAGAUCCGUCUCCCUGACGACUGCACCAUCGGUUACAUCAUCGAGGCGUUGCUGGAGGUGCGGCUGGCGCACACGUACCUGUUCCACUCCCACCUGGAGAACCUGCAGAAGCUGCCCACGGACACGGUGCUGGACCAGGUGACACUGAGCUAUGGAGGGUUUGAGAACAGGAGGAACGUGGUCGCGGUGGGGGGGCCUUUUUCUCUGGCUGAAGACCCGUCACGGUAAAACACAAAAAACACUGCGUUGCUUUAGUUUGUCGUGUCGCCGACGCAUCACAGAGAGGUUUAAGACGAUCCACUGCCUGCUGUACCCGGACACAGACUGGUGCCUCGCGGGGAACCCAGGAGGACACUUCUGAAUACCUCAGCACCUCCAUCGCUACCGCCAAAACUACCACCACCACCAAUACCAUCAACUGCCCUUUUUCCAAUGGACCACACUGGCCUAGCUUGACUCGUUUUGACUUUCCGUGACAGCUGGGAUUUGCGUCCCGUCCCCCAUUACCACAGGGCUGAGGGUGUCUGACCUUAAACCGGUAAUUGAAACGCAUGUCAGUGCGGCUCGGUUUGACUCGGCGCGGCCAAAGGUGCCAAUGGAGAAAGGCCAGCACUGCCAUCACAAGUCUAUCCCCUUCCUUGAAACUGCCACUCUCUACUGCCCUUCUUUCUGCUACAUGGCACCUCUCUGCUCCAACACACACACUAUGAACCAGUAAACAAUACUGACUAUUUCAUUCUUUGUGUGUUAAAUGGAGAGCUACUGCCUUCGUUGAGAACAGUUCUUCAGUGAUUGUUUUCCUGUGGUUUGGAUGGACUGGCCCCUCGCUAAAUGAAGUGUUGCUAUGGCGAUAUGUUAUGGACUUUUUUUUGUGUGUUUUUUGAUGCCAAGCUAAAGCGCUUGGAAUCUGAAAUGGUACUGAGCUAAAUCACAAUUAUUUUUACCUGCAGUAUUUUGUGUGCGCAGGGCGCACUACUGCUAUGACCGCUCUGUGCUUUCUUGCCAAACCCCUUUUGUGAUGUUGUCUGUUGACUGCAUCCAACAGGCUAAUGUUCAAAUGUCCGAUAUCAUUCCUGUGCAUUACCUUCAAUGUAUUUUAUUAUGUUUUUUUUACAAUGAAAAUACAAGUGUUGCUGGUUCCCUUUUA
Molecule: RNA transcript, 2563 nt
Organism: Gadus morhua (Atlantic cod)
Lineage: Eukaryota; Metazoa; Chordata; Actinopteri; Gadiformes; Gadidae
Gene: rfng
Gene name: RFNG O-fucosylpeptide 3-beta-N-acetylglucosaminyltransferase
Exons: 9
Source: RefSeq, a predicted model, not a curated record